AUGCCGGUAAUCGUCCUAGAGUAUUGAACCCGCAAGAUAAGCAGGUGGGUUCCUCGAUCGCAGUAUUGAACUACCAAAAGAAAAGGCAUGUUACCAACUUUGAUACAAGCAGGAUCCCUAGAUAUCAAUAAAAAUGUUCGGUCAACACAGUGAAAGGACAACGCGUACAUCACAGAUUUACCAUCUUUAUAAUAGCAUACUCUCUCAAAAUCGGCAACGAGAUUGUUUCUUUUUUUGAAAGCGUAUUAUUUU
RNAcentral lists this unclassified non-coding RNA (252 nucleotides) under Enterococcus faecalis V583. Its description in RNAcentral is "Ref44". The record is from RNAcentral. Lineage: Bacteria; Bacillati; Bacillota; Bacilli; Lactobacillales; Enterococcaceae.